GCUGUGACUCAGUGGUAGAGGGCUUGCCUAGCAUGUGUGAAGCCCUGGGUUUGAUUCUCAGCACUGCA
RNAcentral lists this transfer RNA (68 nucleotides) under Marmota monax (woodchuck). Its description in RNAcentral is "tRNA.Ala". The record is from RNAcentral. Lineage: Eukaryota; Metazoa; Chordata; Mammalia; Rodentia; Sciuridae.